This 379-nucleotide ribosomal RNA is filed under the name Escherichia coli. RNAcentral's name for it is "bacterial SSU rRNA". It matches the Rfam family "Bacterial small subunit ribosomal RNA", at positions 70 to 449 of the family's 1533-position model. Lineage: Bacteria; Pseudomonadati; Pseudomonadota; Gammaproteobacteria; Enterobacterales; Enterobacteriaceae. The record is from RNAcentral.
AGGAAGAAGCUUGCUUCUUUGCUGACGAGUGGCGGACGGGUGAGUAAUGUCUGGGAAACUGCCUGAUGGAGGGGGAUAACUACUGGAAACGGUAGCUAAUACCGCAUAACGUCGCAAGACCAAAGAGGGGGACCUUCGGGCCUCUUGCCAUCGGAUGUGCCCAGAUGGGAUUAGCUAGUAGGUGGGGUAACGGCUCACCUAGGCGACGAUCCCUAGCUGGUCUGAGAGGAUGACCAGCCACACUGGAACUGAGACACGGUCCAGACUCCUACGGGAGGCAGCAGUGGGGAAUAUUGCACAAUGGGCGCAAGCCUGAUGCAGCCAUGCCGCGUGUAUGAAGAAGGCCUUCGGGUUGUAAAGUACUUUCAGCGGGGAGGAA